Molecule: unclassified non-coding RNA, 234 nt
Filed under: uncultured fungus
Lineage: Eukaryota; Fungi
Description: sequence contains ITS2
Source: RNAcentral
AACGCACAUUGCGCCUUAAGGUAUUCCUUGAGGCAUGCCUGUUCGAGCGUCGUUUAAACCCAUAAAGCAUUGCUUUUGUGUUGAAGUUUGUGUGCAAUUCACAACUUCUAAAACGAUUGGCAUCUUAUGAUUCAGAUCAAACGCAUCGAUUUGUGUUUUUAAGAAUCAAAAGAUUGUUGACUUAUUAUUCAAAAAGUCGACCUCGGAUCAGGCAAGACUACCCACUGAACUUAA